This is a long non-coding RNA of Lineus longissimus, 612 nucleotides long. RefSeq lists it as uncharacterized. Lineage: Eukaryota; Metazoa; Nemertea; Pilidiophora; Heteronemertea; Lineidae. The transcript has 3 exons. The record is from RefSeq and is a predicted model, not a curated record.
CUGCCCUUUAGAUCAUGAGCAGAGAUCAGCUUGUUGGCCUGAUAAAACCUGGAAAAUUGGCGUUCUUAGUUUGAUUUUUGUCAUUAGCAUAGAGAGAGAGAGAGAGAGAGCAGUCGCAGAAGACCAUGAGAGUCCCUCAUGAAAGUUCAUUGAGAGGGAGAGAGCAGUCUCAAGUUAGGGACUUCUUGAUUUGGACAUAAUUUUGCAGCACAGGUUAAAAGUCCUUGCUGAUAGACUGCUGAAAGAACUUCUACCGUGUAUACACGUAAAAAGAACUUGUACCGUCUACGGACGUAAAAGACAUUUUACCGUGUAUACACGUAAAAAGAACUUGUAUCGUUUACGGACGGAAAAAGAACUUGUACUGUCCAUUGACAUACCGUGUAUACACGUAUAAAGGACUUGUAUCGUUUACGGACGGAAAAAGAAUCUUCGACGAUCAACUUCUUAUCACUUACCGUUAUCUUUCAUAAUACAUCUACUGACAAUAAACAAACUUCCGCUCUCUCCCUGUUGACAGAACCAGAAUCAAAGCUUGUAGCCAGUGGACAUUAUCUUUUGAACUACUACUAUCAUAGAUCAUUUUAUUGUCAAGAGAUAGAGAACUUUCAU